Molecule: microRNA precursor, 58 nt
Filed under: Echinococcus granulosus
Lineage: Eukaryota; Metazoa; Platyhelminthes; Cestoda; Cyclophyllidea; Taeniidae
Description: microRNA egr-mir-10251 precursor
Source: miRBase by way of RNAcentral
GAGGUGCCUGAUUUGAGUGCAGCCUCAUGUAGGCAGGACAUCGAAUCAGGAAAUUCCA